AUCAUAAUAAAGGAGGUGAAAUAUAUGUUUGAUUUACUUGCUUUAUUAACUGGAAUUUCAGUUCGUGGCAAUGCACCACACCAAUAAUUACGUGUUUGUUUAACUGAAUUUCUGACGGCUCUACCUAUGCCAGUAGGUGGAGCCAUUUUUUUAUUUAAUAUUAUAAAAUUAACAGUAUUACUAAAACCUCAUACUUAGUAUAACACAAAUUAUAAAUUAUGCUAGAUAGUUACUAAAUUAACGUCAUUACAAGGAUGUUACGUUUUUACAACAUCUUGUAAAACUAGACAAUGCUGUCCUUCUUUAUCCAUCACACUCAAUGAUAGUGAUAGUAUCUUAUGAUAGAAACAACAUGUACAUUAUAACAAUUAUUAUUAAGAAAGCUACUUCUCAAUAGGAGAAGUAGCGCUUCUCUCGU
This 418-nucleotide unclassified non-coding RNA is filed under the name Enterococcus faecalis V583. Its description in RNAcentral is "Ref32C". The record is from RNAcentral. Lineage: Bacteria; Bacillati; Bacillota; Bacilli; Lactobacillales; Enterococcaceae.